RNAcentral lists this ribosomal RNA (460 nucleotides) under uncultured bacterium. RNAcentral's name for it is "partial 16S ribosomal RNA". It matches the Rfam family "Bacterial small subunit ribosomal RNA", at positions 338 to 795 of the family's 1533-position model. The record is from RNAcentral.
CCUACGGGUGGCAGCAGUGAGGAAUAUUGGUCAAUGGGCGCUAGCCUGAACCAGCCAAGUAGCGUGAAGGAUGACUGCCCUACGGGUUGUAAACUUCUUUUAUAUAGGAAUAAAGUGCAGCACGUAUACCUUUUUGUAUGUACUUUAUGAAUAAGGAUCGGCUAACUCCGUGCCAGCAGCCGCGGUAAUACGGAGGAUCCGAGCGUUAUCCGGAUUUAUUGGGUUUAAAGGGAGCGUAGGUGGGUUGUUAAGUCAGUUGUGAAAGUUUGCGGCUCAACCGUAAAAUUGCAAUUGAUACUGGCAGUCUUGAGUACAGUUGAGGUAGGCGGAAUUCGUGGUGUAGCGGUGAAAUGCUUAGAUAUCACGAAGAACUCCGAUUGCGAAGGCAGCCUACUAAACUGUAACUGACAUUGAUGCUCGAAAGUGUGGGUAUCAAACAGGAUUAGAUACCCGGGUAGUC